UUCUGCCACCAUGGCUGACGCCUUUCCUGUUCUAAGGUAGGAGCACUUUUUCCCACUGAGCAAAAAGCUCCUUUCGCAAACAUCCACUUUGCUGGGCUUUGUUUUUAACAAAAGGAGCCCAUAGCACCCAGUACAACGGGGCUGUCCAGGUGACUCACUGUCUUGCAUACUGAUGGGCUCCCAGACAGCUCCCCCCAGCCAGCUGGCCGCUCAGAGCUCCAUUCCCAAGCUCCCACUUUUUCAAAGCCCUGUGCUCAACCCGACUGGCUUGGUCACCCUCCUUUCCAGACGGACAAUCCUGGGGAGAAAGUAAUGCCAGGCCACAGGCUCAACUCCAGCUCUCCACAGAGCAGUCUUGCCCAGGAAAUAAUGGCUUCGAGGCGCUUACAGCCCCGGGCGGUGCAUACAAGCAGGAGGAACAGAAUGAAAGAGGUAGGCAACUGUUUGUUGCUUUCACCGAGAUUUCCUCGCAAUGGGCCACGGAUGUCCUUUCUCCAACGUCUGGGAGGAUGAAGCAGGACAGGGAGCCCACAAACUGUCGUUGAAGACGUGCUCUGCCUGCCCCUGCUUUGCUGGCAACGUGCGGUGUUUGGACAAGAUUGUCACAGUGUUGAGUUGGAGAGCCACCACUGGCCGAGUCUUCCUCUGGCUUUGCUCUGGCCGCAUCUCUCUCCAGACCCGACCUUUCAAAUGGCUCCCAGCUGCCUCCACGUUCAGCCAAAAGCCACCGGCCUGGACGUUAGGCCCUUCUUAGCUUGAACUGGCCUCUUCCCCUGGAACGCCUCCCUGGAUCUCUUCACACCCGAGAACAUCCACCAUCACUGGUUUCCAGAGCACCUGAACUCCCAGCCCUUCCCACCCUGAUCACUGAGUGACUGAAUUGGAAUUAAAUACUUGUUUAGUGUCACCCCAGCUAGACUGUUGGGCUCUGCAUGGGGAGGGACCGGGUCUUUUCAUUGAAGCACUCAAAGGAGCGCUUUUAAAUUUAAAUAUAUUUAUACUGGGGCACCGGGGUGGCUCAGUGGGUUAAGCCCCACUUAACUUUGGCUCAGGUCCGACUUCGACUCAGGUCAUGAAUCUCACGAUUCGUGGGUUCGAGCCCCACAUCGGGUUCUGUGCUGACAGCUCAGAGCCUGGAGCCUGCUGAAUUCUGUGUUUCUCUUUCUCUCUCUCUGCCCCUUCCCCACUCGUGCUCUGUCUCUCAGAAAUGAAUACACCUUAACAAGAUUUUUUGAUAAAUAAAUAAAUGUUUGUGUCUCGCUCAAUGGCUGACUGACUUGAGGUUCUGCAGGGAUGUUCCAUGCCCUGAUUUCUCUGGACACACACCUGUGUUCUGUCAACAUCUGCCACUCCCUGAGUGGCCUUUACUUUCCUAUCUCUGUGACUUUGUUCAUGUGAUGCCUUCUUCUUGGAGUGUGGAUAUCCUUUCCAUCCCGUUGCAGGACAAUCGGAAUUACAGAAGGCAGGAGGCUAGUUCUUUUACUGAGAUGCAGUUUCACAGACUAUAAAAUUCACUUGUGAUUUUUCCUAUAGUCACAAGGUUGUGCAGCCAUCAGCACUAACUCCAGAACACUUCCAUCACCCCCAAAUAAACCCCCUACCCAUCAGCCACCAUUCCCUACUCCUCUUCUCCCCCCCGCUCCUGGCGAUCACCGAUGCUCCUGUUUGUCUCCAUGCAUUCGCCCAUUCUAGAUAUUUCAUUCACGCAGAAUCAUACAUGUGGCCUUUCAUGUCUAGCUUCUUUCGUUUAGCAUAAGGUCGUCAAGGCCCAUUCAUACUGUAGCAGGUGUCACUCCAUUCUUCUUCACGGCUGAAUCAUAUGUCAUGAGACGGAGGUCCCCCUUUUUAUUUCUUCCUUCAUCAGUUCAUUUGGAUUGUUUCCAUGUUUGGGCUCUUAUGAAUAAUCCUGCCAGGAAUAUUUGUGUACAAGCUUUCGGGUGAACAUCUGUUUUCAGUUCUCAUGUGUAUAUACUUACAGGAGGAACUGUUGGGUCAUGUGGUAACAUUACAUUUAACCUCUUAAAGAAUCACUGAACUGUUUUCCAAAAUGGCUGUACGAUUUAACAUGCCCACCUACAAUGGAUGAGGAUUCCAAUUUCUUUACGUGCUUGCCAACACAUGCAUGUUAUUGUCUGUUGUUGUUGUUGUUGUAAUUACCAUUCUAGUGAAUAUGAAGUGAUAUCUCAUUGUGCUUGCAAUCCCCUGAUGACUAAUGAUGCCAAGAAUUUUUUCAGGGUCAUUCUACAUUUUAUUUACAGAAAUGUUUAUUCAAAUCUUCUGCCAUCUUUAAUUGGGUUAUUUGGGGCGCCUGGGUGGCUCAGUCAGUUGAGCGACCACCUUCGGCUCAGGUCAUGAUCUCGCGGUUUGUGAGUUUGGGGCCUGCAUCAGGCUCUGUGCUGACAGCUCGGAGCCUGGAGCCUUCUUCGGAUUCUGUGUCCCCCUCUCUCUCUGCCCCUCCCCCACUCAUGCUCUUCCUCUGUCUCAGAAAUAAAUAAACAUAAAAAAAUUUUAA
Long non-coding RNA from Neofelis nebulosa (Clouded leopard), 2512 nucleotides. RefSeq lists it as uncharacterized. The record is from RefSeq and is a predicted model, not a curated record. The transcript is spliced from 2 exons. NCBI's taxonomy places the organism in Eukaryota, Metazoa, Chordata, Mammalia, Carnivora, Felidae.